Molecule: unclassified non-coding RNA, 312 nt
Filed under: Hevea brasiliensis (rubber tree)
Lineage: Eukaryota; Viridiplantae; Streptophyta; Magnoliopsida; Malpighiales; Euphorbiaceae
Source: RNAcentral
UUUUUUUUUUUUUUCUAUGGACUGCAUAAAUCUUAUCUUCCAGCCCGGGGGAUAAUCUCUUUUGGCAGCUCAAUCCUCACGGUAAUAAUUUUGCCAAUUCUGCCUAAAAAUCUCUUCAGGUGAUCAAGAGGGCCCCCUUUUUCAGUAGAUGAGAUUAGGAUGAAAGGUAUAUUAUCUCAACGCUUCUUUUCUCUGGCUUGCUCUUCCAAAUUCAAUUUUGGCCUGCGGUAAUGUUGUAAUCAGGAUUUCAUCUCCUAAUUUCUUUUUUUCUAUGAAAGCAAGGGAUGGAAAGUGUUGUUUUAAAUUCUGCCU